ACGCCAGUAGCUCAAUUGGUAGAGUGGCGGUCUCCAAAACCGUUGGUUGGGGGUUCGAGUCCCUCCUGGCGUG
This 73-nucleotide transfer RNA is filed under the name Verrucomicrobiota bacterium. RNAcentral describes it as "Verrucomicrobia bacterium tRNA-Trp". It matches the Rfam family "tRNA". From Rfam's summary of the family: Transfer RNA (tRNA) molecules are approximately 80 nucleotides in length. Their secondary structure includes four short double-helical elements and three loops (D, anti-codon, and T loops). Further hydrogen bonds mediate the characteristic L-shaped molecular structure. tRNAs have two regions of fundamental functional importance: the anti-codon, which is responsible for specific mRNA codon recognition, and the 3' end, to which the tRNAs corresponding amino acid is attached (by aminoacyl-tRNA synthetases). tRNAs cope with the degeneracy of the genetic code in two manners: having more than one tRNA (with a specific anti-codon) for a particular amino acid; and 'wobble' base-pairing, i.e. permitting non-standard base-pairing at the 3rd anti-codon position. The record is from RNAcentral. RNAcentral also lists the same sequence under 1 other name. Lineage: Bacteria; Pseudomonadati; Verrucomicrobiota.